RNAcentral lists this ribosomal RNA (460 nucleotides) under uncultured bacterium. RNAcentral's name for it is "partial 16S ribosomal RNA". It matches the Rfam family "Bacterial small subunit ribosomal RNA", at positions 338 to 795 of the family's 1533-position model. The record is from RNAcentral.
CCUACGGGUGGCAGCAGUGAGGAAUAUUGGUCAAUGGGCGCGAGCCUGAACCAGCCAAGUAGCGUGAAGGAUGACUGCCCUACGGGUUGUAAACUUCUUUUAUAAAGGAAUAAAGUGAGGCACGUGUGCCUUUUUGUAUGUACUUUAUGAAUAAGGAUCGGCUAACUCCGUGCCAGCAGCCGCGGUAAUACGGAGGAUCCGGGCGUUAUCCGGAUGUAAUGGGUGUAAAGGGGGCGGAGACGGUGAUGCAAGUAUGUCGUGCAAGUCGGGGGCCCAAACCCCGGACUGCGGUUGAAACGGGCCGUCUGGAGUUGAAGAGAGGUAUGUGGAAUGCGUGGUGUAGCGGUGAAAUGUUUAGAUAUCACGAAGAACUCCGAUUGCGAAGGCAGCAUGCUGGACUGUAACUGACGCUGAUGCACGAAAGUGUGGGUAUCAAACAGGAUUAGAUACCCUAGUAGUC